Molecule: long non-coding RNA, 279 nt
Organism: Corvus hawaiiensis (hawaiian crow)
Lineage: Eukaryota; Metazoa; Chordata; Aves; Passeriformes; Corvidae
Exons: 3
Source: RefSeq, a predicted model, not a curated record
GUGCCGCCGCUGUCCGUGCGCCCGGCUGUGGUCAAGCAGGGCUCUGCUCGCAACCAGGUGCGCUUUUGGGGGGAUUUUCGGGGAUUUUGGGGUUCCUGGAGAGGUUUUGGGGUGAUUUGGGGUGAUAUUUUGGGGGGUUUUGGGGUCUCUGGGGCACCGUGCUGCCCGUGCCGCCGCUGUCCGUGCGCCCGGCCGUCGUCAUGCAGGGCUCUGCUCGCAACCAGGUGCGCUUUUGGGGGAUUUUCGGGGAUUUUGGGAGGUUUUGGGGUGAUUUGGGGU